CAGGUAUCAUUUCUCAAUGCUCUGCUUUGGUAUUUACUGUGUGCAGCACACCACAUGCAUUGUUUGCUUAAUAGAUAUUUCAUGAAUGGAUGAAAAACUGAAAUGGCAGAAGAGCUGGAAAAGAUCUCCUUAAAGAACUUAGCUCUUGAAUAUUUUAGACACAUCAGGUAAAACUUUUGGAGAAAAUGGCCAUGCCCAGAGGUGUUCCUAUCUGGCAUCUUCGUGGCACAAGCUGAGUACAUUUGAAAGUAUACCUUUUUGCUGUCUUAACCUUGGAAAUGCGCCCAAUGACCUUGAGCUAAGCUUGCCUGAUAAUGUGUCUGCUAGUUUUCCAUCUAGAACCUUGAUCUUUAACUGAACAUGCUCAGGAAUGUACUCUGAGAUAUUUUCUCACACGAAUACGUACAGGCUCUACAAACAAACCCUGUAUGUUUCCUUUUCCCAAGGGCAUUGCUUUGGAUAUCACUCUUGGGCUCUCCUCACCUGCAGCAGGUAAUAAAUAUUUCUCUGCUCUUUU
Molecule: long non-coding RNA, 517 nt
Organism: Peromyscus maniculatus bairdii (prairie deer mouse)
Lineage: Eukaryota; Metazoa; Chordata; Mammalia; Rodentia; Cricetidae
Source: RefSeq, a predicted model, not a curated record